This 754-nucleotide ribosomal RNA is filed under the name Frondihabitans sp. RNAcentral describes it as "bacterial SSU rRNA". It matches the Rfam family "Bacterial small subunit ribosomal RNA", at positions 529 to 1309 of the family's 1533-position model. Lineage: Bacteria; Bacillati; Actinomycetota; Actinomycetes; Micrococcales; Microbacteriaceae. The record is from RNAcentral.
UAGGGGCAAGCGUGUCGGAAUUUUGGGGGUAAAGACUUGUAGCGGUUUGUGCGUUUGUGUGAAUCUGGGGCUCACCCCCCCCCGCCGGGGGCCGGCAGCCAGAGGGGGUAGGGAGAUUGAAUUCCUGUGUAGCGGGGAAGCGCAGAAUCAGGAGGACACCGAUGGCGAGGCAGAUCUCGGGCCGUAAUGACGCUGAGGAGCGAAAGCAUGGGAGCGAACAGGAUUAGAUACCCUGGUAGUCCAUGCCGUAAACGGUGGGAACUAGAUGUAGGGGCCCUUCCCCGGUUUCUGUGUCGCAGCUAACGCAUUAAGUUCCCCGCCUGGGGAGUACGGCCGCAAGGCUAAAACUCAAAGGAAUUGACGGGGGCCCGCACAAGCGGCGGAGCAUGCGGAUUAAUUCGAUGCAACGCGAAGAACCUUACCAAGGCUUGACAUAUACCGGAAACGUCCAGAGAUGGUCGCCCCGCAAGGUCGGUAUACAGGUGGUGCAUGGUUGUCGUCAGCUCGUGUCGUGAGAUGUUGGGUUAAGUCCCGCAACGAGCGCAACCCUCGUUCUAUGUUGCCAGCACGUUAUGGUGGGAACUCAUAGGAGACUGCCGGGGUCAACUCGGAGGAAGGUGGGGAUGACGUCAAAUCAUCAUGCCCCUUAUGUCUUGGGCUUCACGCCUGCUACAAUGGCCGAUACAAAGGGCUGCAAUACCGUAAGGUGGAGCGAAUCCCAAAAAGUCGGUCUCAGUUCGGAUUGAGGUCUGCA